UUCGCUGAAAGAGCGUCCGAGCAAUGGGGGGACGCAGGAAGGUAUGCCGUGCUAGGCGUUGGUUGCCCUGGUUUAAGCCUGUAGGGAGAGUCGCCAGGCAAAUCCGGUGGCUCGUUAAUCCUGAGGGGUGAUGACGAGAUCAAUUAAGAUCGAAGCGGCAAAUCCUACACUGACAAGAAAAGCCUCUAGCGAGUUCUUUUGGUGUCCGUACUCGAAACCGACACAGGUGGGUGGGGUGAGAAUCCUAAGGCGUUGAGUGAAACCUCGUUAAGGAACUCGGCAACUUGACACCGUAACUUCGGGAGAAGGUGUGCCCUCAUUAGGUGUAAAAAUUUACUUUUGAAGCCGAAGGGGGUGGCACAUAAAUGGCCGGGGCGACUGUUUACUAAAAACAUAGGACUCUGCUAAAUCGCAAGAUGACGUAUAGGGUCUGAUGCCUGCCCGGUGCCGGAAGGUUAAGGGGAUGCGUUAGUCUUCAGGGCGAAGCGUUGAACCGAAGCCCCGGUAAACGGCGGCCGUAACAAUAACGGUCCUAAGGUAGCGAAAUUCCUUGUCGGGUAAGUUCCGACCUGCACGAAUGGCAUAACGAUCUCGGCGGUGUCUCAACGAGGGGCUCAGUGAAAUUGCAGUGCCGGUGAAGAUACCGGCAACCCGCAGAAGGACGGGAAGACCCCGUGGACCUUUACUAUAACUUGACAGUGUAUCUUGGGCAGGUUUGUGUAGGAUAGGUGGGAGACUAUGAAGCUGGGACGCUAGUUUCGGUGGAGUCAACCUUGAAAUACCACCCUGAUCUGCUCGGGCUACUAACUUACUCCCGUUAUCCGGGAGAAGGACACUGUCUGGUGGGUAGUUUGACUGGGGCGGUCGCCUCCCAAAAUGUAACGGAGGCGCGCUAAGGUUCCCUCAGGCUGAUUGGAAACCAGCCGUCGAGUGUAAAGACAUAAGGGAGCUUGACUGCGAGACGGACACGUCGAGCAGGUGCGAAAGCAGGUCUUAGUGAUCCGGUGGUUCCGAAUGGAAGGGCCAUCGCUCAACGGAUAAAAGGUACCCCGGGGAUAACAGGCUUAUCUCCCCCAAGAGUUCACAUCGACGGGGAGGUUUGGCACCUCGAUGUCGGCUCAUCGCAUCCUGGGGCUGGAGCAGGUCCCAAGGGUAUGGCUGUUCGCCAUUUAAAGCGGUACGCGAGCUGGGUUUAGAACGUCGUGAGACAGUUCGGUCCCUAUCCUCUGUGGGCGGAGGAGAUUUGAGAGAAGCUGUCCCUAGUACGAGAGGACCGGGAUGGGAGCACCUCUGGUGUUCCUGUUGUCGCGCCAGCGGCAUAGCAGGGUAGCUACGUGCGGAACGGAUAACCGCUGAAAGCAUCUAAGUGGGAAGCCGGUCUCAAGAUAAGAUCUCCCUUCGACUUCGGUCGACUGAAGGCCUCCUGAAGACUACAGGAUUGAUAGGCUGGGUGUGUAAGCACAGCAAUGAGUUGAGCUAACCAGUACUAAUAGGCCGUGAGGCUUGACCCA
This 1511-nucleotide ribosomal RNA is filed under the name metagenome. RNAcentral describes it as "bacterial LSU rRNA". It matches the Rfam family "Bacterial large subunit ribosomal RNA", at positions 1443 to 2925 of the family's 2925-position model. The record is from RNAcentral.